GAUGAACGCUGGUGGCGUGCCUAAUACAUGCAAGUCGAGCGAACAGACGAGGAGCUUGCUCCUCUGACGUUAGCGGCGGACGGGUGAGUAACACGUGGAUAACCUACCUAUAAGACUGGGAUAACUUCGGGAAACCGGAGCUAAUACCGGAUAAUAUAUUGAACCGCAUGGUUCAAUAGUGAAAGACGGUUUUGCUGUCACUUAUAGAUGGAUCCGCGCCGCAUUAGCUAGUUGGUAAGGUAACGGCUUACCAAGGCGACGAUGCGUAGCCGACCUGAGAGGGUGAUCGGCCACACUGGAACUGAGACACGGACCAGACUCCUACGGGAGGCAGCAGUAGGGAAUCUUCCGCAGUGGGCGAAAGCCUGACGGAGCAACGCCGCGUGAGUGAUGAAGGUCUUCGGAUCGUAAAACUCUGUUAUUAGGGAAGAACAAAUGUGUAAGUAACUAUGCACGUCUUGACGGUACCUAAUCAGAAAGCCACGGCUAACUACGUG
RNAcentral lists this ribosomal RNA (497 nucleotides) under uncultured bacterium. RNAcentral describes it as "partial 16S ribosomal RNA". It matches the Rfam family "Bacterial small subunit ribosomal RNA", at positions 28 to 507 of the family's 1533-position model. The record is from RNAcentral.